Long non-coding RNA from Dermacentor albipictus, 598 nucleotides. RefSeq lists it as uncharacterized. The record is from RefSeq and is a predicted model, not a curated record. NCBI's taxonomy places the organism in Eukaryota, Metazoa, Arthropoda, Arachnida, Ixodida, Ixodidae.
UGGUACUACAUAAGGCGUUCAAUUAACGCCCCUACGCCACUGUCUGUUCACGCAUUGUUCAUCGCAAGUUCCUAAUUUUGCUAAUACUAUGGUGAUGAACGACCAAAGCACUCUUUGCUGCUUGUCCAAGAAGCUUACAAAAAUAAUAAGGAAAGUACAUGCAUAAUGCCUCACCGCCACUGCCCGCGUCCUGUUCUAGGCAAGUUUUAUUGUCUGGCCAGCUGAGGAUGAGUCCGACGGAGUCUGCAGUUCGGUAUAUGUCUUUAAGCAUAUGAGGAAACAAUUCGUAAUCUACUAAAAUGACGGUUAUUUGCAAAGGAAUUGUAAUGAACCCUGGUGUCCCGCCUUCGGAAAGGCACAGGAUCGGGGAACGAAACUCCCCAGUCGAAGAGAUGGACGGCUUGCUUGGAAAAUGCCUCUUCGUGGUGGUUUCUGCCACACUCGCUACGCUGAUUAUGGCCCCAAAUGAAGCUGGGGCAAUUCCACCUAAUGUAUGGGACACUAUUAUAAAGGCCGUGGGACGAAAUGAAGACAAUGUGGAGUGACGAAGCAUCAGUCUUCGUGACACAAUGUGGCUGCCUUGCGUUCCAUUGACGAC